GAUGAAGAACGCAGCGAAAUGCGAUAAGUAAUGUGAAUUGCAGAAUUCAGUGAAUCAUCGAAUCUUUGAACGCACAUUGCGCCCCUUGGUAUUCCGCAGGGCAUGCCUGUUCGAGCGUCAUUUCAACCCUCAAGCCCCGCUUGGUGUUGGGCCCCGCCCGCUGUGGCCAGCCCUAAAGACAGUGGCGGCGCCGCCUGGCCCUCAGCGUAGUACAUCUCUCGCUCCAGGGUCCGGUGGCCGCCUGCCAGAACCCCCCAACUCUGUGGUUGACCUCGGAUCAGGUAGGGAUACCCGCUGAACUUAAGCAUAUCAAUAAGCGGAGGA
This 324-nucleotide unclassified non-coding RNA is filed under the name soil metagenome. Its description in RNAcentral is "partial contains 5.8S ribosomal RNA, internal transcribed spacer 2, and large subunit ribosomal RNA". The stretch from base 1 to 120 matches the Rfam family "5.8S ribosomal RNA", at positions 35 to 154 of the family's 154-position model. The record is from RNAcentral.